Long non-coding RNA from Canis lupus familiaris (dog), 1829 nucleotides. RefSeq lists it as uncharacterized. The record is from RefSeq and is a predicted model, not a curated record. The transcript is spliced from 2 exons. Lineage: Eukaryota; Metazoa; Chordata; Mammalia; Carnivora; Canidae.
CUCCUCAGAUGACCAGAAAGAUGGACCAAAACUCUUUUAAAACAGAAGGUACAGGAUUUUAUAAAGAGGACAUCAUGUAUAGUUUCCUCCCCCCUCAAUAUCCAUUUUAUGUCAAGGAAAGAUUGAGGAAUCUGGAUAUUCAGAGAGAAAGCAGAGUGAGAUGUCAUUGUGUGGUAUUUAAGGAGAGUUGCUCUGUGGCACAGACCAGAGGAGGGAUGCUGUGACCAAUUAUGGCAUCAGGCGGAGACCGUGCUUCCUGCCCAGCGUGCUCCUGCUCCUGAGCAGCUGCCAUUGGUCACUAGGAACCUUCAAAGGGCUUAAGUGAUUAUACUAGUUGAAAGCAUGUUGGGUUCAAGGAUUUAUAAUAUUCUUUAAAAGGACAAUAAAUUCCAGGUUAAACAGAGGGAGUGCCCUAGUGUGUGCCUCGAUAUUAGCAGUUCUUUAAAUCUUUCUCCAAAUGGUAAUUUCUCUAAAAUUUGAGACAUAAACAUUAGGUAAUGGAGUGUCAGGCAAAUAUUUAAACAGUUUGAAUGAAUUGAUUGCAUCCUAGCCCUACUACUUCCUAACUGGGUAUCCUUAGGCAAUUACUUAAAUUUUUCUCUGACUUAAUUUUCUCAUCUAUAAAAUGCAGUUAACAAUGGCUCCUACCUCUUAGGGUUUUUGUGAGUGCUAAAUGAGUUAACAUAAGUCAAGUGCUUAGAAAAGCAUCUGGCGAAUAGUGACACUGUACAUGAGUUAGCAGCCACGAUGGUAGUGUUCGUGUUGUCAUUCCUCUUUCUCUUCCUUCCUCCGGCAUUUGUACAAGUGUGGGCUUUCUCCCAAUCCAGUCAUUCACUCCUUCAGAAGAGCCAUUCUUUCAGACCUGUGUUUUAUAACCCAAGAUCUUACAAUCUAUUCCUGGCUGGUCGGUAUGCCACCAGCUUCGUGAGCGUACGUUAUUUCUGACCAGUCUCUGGAAGCAGGACUUCUAAGUUCACCCUCAGUUCAGUAAUGAUAAUUAUUUUUCUCUGGUUAUCCCUGAGCUGAGUUAUUGCUAGAAGACCCUCUUAGAACAUGUUUAUCUGUUACAGGUUCCUUAAGAAAUAGAUUUUAAUAAAUCAUUAUUGCAACUCCAUGGGGUGUUAUGAACAACAUUUGUGGGCGUUUGGUUUAUCUAUAUAGUAUUGUGUUAGAAAUUGUGGGGAAGAAGGCAAAAAGAUAUUACAACUUAGUUGGGAGGAUGUAACAAAUGCCUCCAAAAGGCUAAGUAGCAUUAAGAGGGAACAUUAGUAAGGAGCCAAGGGAGAGACGGAUAAGGAGACAAGAAUGCCUGCCUCCAGUCCUGAGGGAAAAAACAUUCAUAGAAAUAUGAAAGGCAGGUCCUCAAAAGACAGUUUUAUGUUGAGAAAUAAUUGAAUAGCAAGUUGGUAAGCUAGAGAGAGAAUCAAUUAUAUGGGAAGAAUGAAAUUUGUUAACUGUGAGGUUGAAUGUCUACAGCACAUCAAAUUAACUUUAUGUCUCAAGCAUUGAUUCUACCAACUAAAUCUCAAUAGGAAGCUCCCUAACUGGUGAACAUCAUCAAGGCUCUGGUGGCAGGUGCAGAUCAAAGCUUCGAGGAACUCCUGGAAACCCUGAAAAAAAGACAGAAACCAGGAACUUCUUCAUCAAAUCAGAUUCACGAUGUGCCCAGUGACCCUGCUGAUGAAUAUUUUAGACAUCUGCAUGAAUAAUCAGACUGCCCACAGGAGAGCCACUUGCUUGUUUGUGAGGCUGGAAAUGCUAGCUGGAUGAUGCUGACUCGAGUUCUGUGUACCAACGUGAAAAUAAUAAAUACCUAAGUAAAUUCUUAA